RNAcentral lists this non-coding RNA (65 nucleotides) under Streptococcus agalactiae. Its description in RNAcentral is "partial 16S ribosomal RNA". It matches the Rfam family "Bacterial small subunit ribosomal RNA", at positions 1469 to 1533 of the family's 1533-position model. The record is from RNAcentral. RNAcentral also lists the same sequence under 21 other names. Lineage: Bacteria; Bacillati; Bacillota; Bacilli; Lactobacillales; Streptococcaceae.
AGAUGAUUGGGGUGAAGUCGUAACAAGGUAGCCGUAUCGGAAGGUGCGGCUGGAUCACCUCCUUU